Molecule: non-coding RNA, 97 nt
Organism: Acanthosepion pharaonis
Lineage: Eukaryota; Metazoa; Mollusca; Cephalopoda; Sepiida; Sepiidae
Source: the annotation of a GenBank genome assembly
AUUGAAACACCAGUUCUCAUCUGAUCACCAAAGUUAAGCAACAUUGAGCCUGGUCAGUACCUAAAUGGGUGACUACUUGGAAAUACUAGGUGCUGUA